AGGAACUGGCUCCAUCUGAUGGGCAGAGCUUUCUGCAGGUGGGUGUAGCCAGGCAUGAUAACAUCAAUUUCUCUGCAUAUGGAAAGAGAGGAAGAGGUGAGCAGCAACUGUUUGCAGAGAGAGCUGUGACAGGUAAACUCUCAGGUCUCCUGGCAAGGUCAUGAAAGCAUCUUUAGCCUGUGUUGUGCUAUGCCUUCCUCUUCUUAUAUCCCCAUAAUAUAUUAGGGGAAGAGGAAUGUCUCCCUGAAGCAGACUGUGAAGAAAGAGGGCCCGUUGUCUUUCCCUGUGCUGUCACAUACUGUCUCACUUCAACAUCCUCUGCAGAAGACCUUGCUGCUGCCCUGAUUGGUAUCAGUCAAAGAGAGGAGAGAGAAGUCUCCUGUCCCAGGAACGCUGAGACCGUGGACUUGGGAAAGGACUUACGUAGCAGCGCGCUCCACAAGGGUCUUAAUGAGCUGCAGCAGUGUGCAGCUUUCCAGCUAUAUCACCAAUCAGCUCCUGAG
RNAcentral lists this long non-coding RNA (503 nucleotides) under Gallus gallus (chicken). RNAcentral describes it as "long non-coding RNA NONGGAT003454". The record is from RNAcentral. Lineage: Eukaryota; Metazoa; Chordata; Aves; Galliformes; Phasianidae.